Molecule: ribosomal RNA, 480 nt
Filed under: uncultured bacterium
Lineage: Bacteria
Description: partial 16S ribosomal RNA
Rfam family: Bacterial small subunit ribosomal RNA
Source: RNAcentral
UGAACGCUGGCGGCAUGCUUUACACAUGCAAGUCGAACGGUAGCAGGCCGCAAGGUGCUGACGAGUGGCGAACGGGUGAGUAAUGCAUCGGAACGUGCCCAGUCGUGGGGGAUAACUACUCGAAAGAGUAGCUAAUACCGCAUACGAUCUAUGGAUGAAAGCGGGGGACCGUAAGGCCUCGCGCGAUUGGAGCGGCCGAUGUCAGAUUAGGUAGUUGGUGGGGUAAAGGCUCACCAAGCCAACGAUCUGUAGCUGGUCUGAGAGGACGACCAGCCACUCUGGGACUGAGACACGGCCCAGACUCCUACGGGAGGCAGCAGUGGGGAAUUUUGGACAAUGGGCGCAAGCCUGAUCCAGCAAUGCCGCGUGCAGGAAGAAGGCCUUCGGGUUGUAAACUGCUUUUGUACGGAACGAAACGGCUCUGGUUAAUACCCGGGGCUAAUGACGGUACCGUAAGAAUAAGCACCGGCUAACUACGUG